Molecule: ribosomal RNA, 381 nt
Filed under: Yersinia enterocolitica W22703
Lineage: Bacteria; Pseudomonadati; Pseudomonadota; Gammaproteobacteria; Enterobacterales; Yersiniaceae
Description: bacterial SSU rRNA
Rfam family: Bacterial small subunit ribosomal RNA
Source: RNAcentral
GUGAUGGUGGGAACUCAAAGGAGACUGCCGGUGAUAAACCGGAGGAAGGGUGGGGAUGACGUCAAGUCAUCAUGGCCCUUACGAGUAGGGCUACACACGUGCUACAAUGGCAGAUACAAAGUGAAGCGAACUCGCGAGAGCAAGCGGACCACAUAAAGUCUGUCGUAGUCCGGAUUGGAGUCUGCAACUCGACUCCAUGAAGUCGGAAUCGCUAGUAAUCGUAGAUCAGAAUGCUACGGUGAAUACGUUCCCGGGCCUUGUACACACCGCCCGUCACACCAUGGGAGUGGGUUGCAAAAGAAGUAGGUAGCUUAACCUUCGGGAGGGCGCUUACCACUUUGUGAUUCAUGACUGGGGUGAAGUCGUAACAAGGUAACCGUA